CCUACGGGGGGCAGCAGUGGGGAAUAUUGGACAAUGGGGGGAACCCUGAUCCAGCCAUGCCGCGUGUGUGAAGAAGGCCCUCGGGUUGUAAAGCACUUUCAGUGAGGAAGAACGCCUGGUGGUUAAUACCCAUCAGGAAAGACAUCACUCACAGAAGAAGCACCGGCUAACUCCGUGCCAGCAGCCGCGGUAAUACGGAGGGUGCGAGCGUUAAUCGGAAUUACUGGGCGUAAAGCGCGCGUAGGUGGCUUGAUAAGCCGGUUGUGAAAGCCCCGGGCUCAACCUGGGAACGGCAUCCGGAACUGUCAAGCUAGAGUGCAGGAGAGGAAGGUAGAAUUCCCGGUGUAGCGGUGAAAUGCGUAGAGAUCGGGAGGAAUACCAGUGGCGAAGGGGGCCUUCUGGACUGAAAAUGGCACUGAGGUGCGAAAGCGUGGGUAGCAAACAGGAUUAGAUACCCUUGUAGUC
This 465-nucleotide ribosomal RNA is filed under the name Vreelandella stevensii. RNAcentral describes it as "partial 16S ribosomal RNA". It matches the Rfam family "Bacterial small subunit ribosomal RNA", at positions 338 to 795 of the family's 1533-position model. The record is from RNAcentral. Lineage: Bacteria; Pseudomonadati; Pseudomonadota; Gammaproteobacteria; Oceanospirillales; Halomonadaceae.